Molecule: long non-coding RNA, 313 nt
Organism: Microtus oregoni (creeping vole)
Lineage: Eukaryota; Metazoa; Chordata; Mammalia; Rodentia; Cricetidae
Exons: 3
Source: RefSeq, a predicted model, not a curated record
AUUAGCGAAAGAUACUCACAGAGCGGAGACGUGGGAUCACUAGACAGACACGCGAGGCACACAGGGAGGGGAGCCAUCUGGAAGUUCCCAUCUGGAAAAAACGUGAAUGGACGUCGCACACGGAGACCGUGUGCGAGUUCUUGACAGAAGGCCUCGGGCACGGGGCCAAAGCAUGUGUUUAGACAGGGAUUUCAGGAUUCCAUCUUGCACCCUUCUCCGUGCACCUCUGGGAAAGACUUUGCUGCUUUCAUCGGAAAGCAGAUAGAUACCUGUGGUCGAGGACUCCACGGAGGCCGGAUCAGAGCAGGCCAAC